GUGGAUUAGAUACCCUGGUAGUCCACGCCGUAAACGAUGAUAACUAGCUGCUGGGGCACUUGGUGUUUCAGUGGCGCAGCUAACGCAUUAAGUUAUCCGCCUGGGGAGUACGGUCGCAAGAUUAAAACUCAAAGGAAUUGACGGGGGCCUGCACAAGCGGUGGAGCAUGUGGUUUAAUUCGAAGCAACGCGCAGAACCUUACCAGCGUUUGACAUCCUGAUCGCGGAUAGUGGAGACACUUUCCUUCAGUUCGGCUGGAUCAGUGACAGGUGCUGCACGGCCGUCGUCAGCU
Molecule: ribosomal RNA, 292 nt
Filed under: uncultured bacterium
Lineage: Bacteria
Description: partial 16S ribosomal RNA
Rfam family: Bacterial small subunit ribosomal RNA
Source: RNAcentral